AAAAUACGACUCUCGGCAACGGAUAUCUCGGCUCUUGCAUCGAUGAAGAACGUAGCGAAAUGCGAUACUUGGUGUGAAUUGCAGAAUCCCGUGAACCAUCGAGUCUUUGAACGCAAGUUGCGCCCGAAGCCGUCAGGCCGAGGGCACGUCUGCCUGGGCGUCACG
Molecule: ribosomal RNA, 165 nt
Filed under: Ipomoea wrightii
Lineage: Eukaryota; Viridiplantae; Streptophyta; Magnoliopsida; Solanales; Convolvulaceae
Description: 5.8S ribosomal RNA
Rfam family: 5.8S ribosomal RNA
About the family: 5.8S ribosomal RNA (5.8S rRNA) is a component of the large subunit of the eukaryotic ribosome.
Source: RNAcentral